Molecule: long non-coding RNA, 498 nt
Organism: Portunus trituberculatus (swimming crab)
Lineage: Eukaryota; Metazoa; Arthropoda; Malacostraca; Decapoda; Portunidae
Exons: 3
Source: RefSeq, a predicted model, not a curated record
CAUGGUGAGGAGUGCGUCCUUGGCCCUCGUCGUGCCUACCCUGCUGCUUCUCCACAUCCGUGAAAUUAUAUCCCCGCGGCCGUCACAGCGCAGCCCUCCUCCGCCUGUGUGGAGGAGACUUGUCAGCUGAAAAAAGUAGGUGAAAAACACGCUUAGUUGUCGCUCGUUCCAGAAAAAAAGCACCAUUUGAGACACGCCAAUGGGCAAUAGUGUGUCAUGCUGAACAGAGACACGUCAUUCCCUGCGGUGUGAAGAGGUACCAGUGUGUCAUGCUGAACAGUGACACGUCAUUCCCUGCGGUGUGAAGAGGUACCAGUGUGUCAUGCUGAACAGAGACACGUCAUUCCCUGCGGUGUGAAGAGGUACCAGUGUGUCAUGCUGAACAGAGACACGUCAUUCCCUGCGGUGUGGACGCCGAACACGCUGAACACGCACACUGGUUGGAGUAGCGGCGUGCCUCACUCUCUGCCACUGUGCUUCAUGUCUCUCCUCCCUGCU